UACGAAGGGGGCUAGCGUUGCUCGGAAUCACUGGGCGUAAAGGGUGCGUAGGCGGGUCUUUAAGUCAGGGGUGAAAUCCUGGAGCUCAACUCCAGAACUGCCCUUGAUACUGAGGAUCUUGAGUUCGGGAGAGGUGAGUGGAACUGCGAGUGUAGAGGUGAAAAUUCGUAGAUAUUCGCAAGAACACCAGUGGCGAAGGCGGCCCGCUGGGCAGUGGCUGACGCUGAGG
Molecule: ribosomal RNA, 229 nt
Filed under: uncultured bacterium
Lineage: Bacteria
Description: partial 16S ribosomal RNA
Rfam family: Bacterial small subunit ribosomal RNA
Source: RNAcentral